UCUUUGGAACACAGCUGGAGAAAUGGCGUGGCGUGUUACAGAGCCGGUGGUGUUCUUGGUGUUGACCAGUGAUUUUAUUUACGGAAUGUACCUGAACGUUCUUGAGGGAAGUUAAUUUGCCGAUGGGUUUUCCGUUUAGUUAUUUUUUCAUAGUUGCGUGUUUUGGUUAUUGUAUCGCUCUCUGAAGAUUUGUUUUUUAAACAUGUCAUUUGUGAGUUACAGUAACUUUGGUCGUCUGUCUUCGCGUUAAUUCUAUUUGGAUUUUGUUAAACCUUCCUCGGGUUACAGGUUAUUUUUUGAAACGAGGUGCCUUUGUUAGAAAUUAAACUUUCUGAAUCGGGCAGCGUUUGUAAUUAGGUGUGCACUGGUCAUGUGACCUGAUUUACCAUAGAGUGUGGAAGGCGGGCGAUUUGUUACCGUAGUAACUGUACAAAAUGGGAAGUUGGCAACUUGAACCAAAGUAUUCUAAUACUGUUUGUAAACGUUAUGUUCUAUAAAGGUCCAUCAAGUAAUCAGUAUGUCAAAUGUUAUACAAUAGUCCAUUCGUAUCCCUGAGCUUCUGAAUUUAAAUUUCACUCUUGGGGACAAACCUCAGGCCCAUCUGUUCGUCUUUGCGGGUAUUCUGGUCAUACGCACUUUUGCUUUAGGAUUGACUCUUCACCUCGUUUGCGAGUUAAACUUGUCCCGAAGUCUGCUGGUGACCGACCCAUGCAGUAGAAGGGAGGAGUGAGAAACCGAGCUGGCCAGGAUGGCGGAGCUCCUCGGUACUCCCGCUCGUCUUUCUGUGGCAGCACAUGCGUUGUACGCGCUGAGCAGAAGGCAGUUGAGUGCCGGUCCUGUUCUGUGGUGCCCUCAGCUGGGCAGUGCUACACUCAUGGUGGAUGGAUUCCUGUUUGCACCCGUUGAAGUGUGUGUGUGUGAGCAAAGAGUGAGAAGUGUGCUCUGCACUCCGUCACCUAAGAGCAGUUCUUGAGUCCUCUCCACAUGAUGCCUGUUGUGCCCAGUUUAUUCAUUCCCUCUCUUCUGGCCCUUCCAAGAAAUCUCAAGUUGUGUACUCAAUUUCCCAGAAUCCCCUCCGUUUGGUAGAUUGUGUGAUGAGCACUUUAGUUUUGGUGGUUGUCCAGCAGGUACAUCUCAUUAUCUUUUGGAAUCUUGUGGUGUUGGCAACAGAUUUUAUGAUGACGUGAAAGAGUACAGAAGGGGGCUCAGCACCCUACCCUUGCCGGUUCACCCGUCUGCACAUGCUGAGAUUAACUUUGUGGCAUAGAAGAUGGGAGGUUUUUUUCUCCAGACCUCUUCAUAGUUGCAUCCUUUUGAGUUUUUGUUCUGAAACAGUACGUUUUUGGGGGUCUGUUUAGUUUGCAAGUCAAUCCUUUCACUUCUCGUCCUGUUUUUCUAUUGUAUCCUAGUGCAUUGUGCAAUUCCAGUCUUACCUGUUCUUUCCUAACAUCAGCGUGGCUCCUAUUACAGCAGUUGCUUGAAGUCCUGGCAUGCGUUGACUUGAUGGCCGUCUCACUUUACUUUGAUUACUUAGUGCAUCUCAAUGCAAGUGUGUAGGGCUGCUGUUUCACAGUAUGAUUGACGGUUCUGCAAAUCCCCUGGCAUUAUGAAUGUAUUAACAGUCCAUAACCUUAAUGCCCGAGAUUGAAUCUUUGACUUCAUUUCAUGUCGAGUGCAUAUUGGGAUUUGGAAAGGACUUCCCGGCCAGUCUAGUCCCAGGGACAUCUUAUUGAUCUCCUUAUUUAAUCGCUUGAUCUUUUAUUAUUCUGUCAUGUGAACAUUCCUGAACGAUUCCAAACUACUCCUGUCAUUCUCCGAUCAUUCACCCUGCUCUGUGAGGUUUGCCCUUUUUAUUUUAUCCCACUAUGACAGUGAAUGAAGUAGAUGGGAGCAAAUGACACUGCAUGCUGAAAGAUGGUGUUAAGUUUCUAGUGUCCUUUUAUUGGAUUGUCUAUGCUAUGUGGGGGUUACUGUGGGGCUUCUAGCCUUGCUAUGAUUUUUUUUUUCACUCUUUUUCUAGGUGUGGUGGUUCUUUACCUUCUGAUAGUGCAAGUCUUUCAUUGUGUCAUUUGUUUCAGUCUACUCCAUUUUUUGUUUGAUUUUAAAAUACUUCAUUUCUCUUUGGGGAUUAAUCUUUUUAUGACCGAGGGGGGGUGGUCAGCCAUAUUACAGCGACCCUGGAACAAUUUUCAGGUUAAGGGCCCAGUGGAGUAGAAGCCUUACUGGCAGGAACGGCACUUGAACCUGCAACCUUCCAGAUGGCCUACGUCUCCGAGACGCCAUUGUGGAUUGUCCUUGUAAGGAAACAAUUGGGGGAGCAAACGCAGGGAGAGGUGAAUUGGUAAGAAAAUGACAAUACAGACGAGGCUGUCCUCCUAAAUGUCCAGCGAUGGCCUUUUAAUUAUUAAAGACGCCCAGUCCUUACAAGUCAAAGGGAUACGUAGAGCUGUGAACAGCAAAAGUGAAGUGAGAUUCACAAAGUAAUCGCGGCUUUUAAGUUCAAUAUCCGGCAAAAGAGCUGCUGCUGUAAACAUUUUGACUUGUCUCAUCUAAUUGUAUACAUUUUGAAAAGUUUAUUUAAUAGGGACGCAUGCAAGCACAAUGUUGGAAGUCAGGAACUGGAAAGGAAAGAUUUGGAAGUCAAACUCGGGUUGUUUAAUCUGGAGGUGGCCCCCCAGUUACUGUUAAGACUCAUCCAUAGUGUGUGUAGAAGUGGGGAGCCAAAAAAAUGAGACACGUCUUAAGACUUAAACUAUAAGAUCUGCAGAUGUCAAGUGACCUUUACACCACAUUAGGGGUCUUAAGAUGAGUUUAACGCAAAAUCCAUUUUGUUUAUAAUGGUGGAGUUUAAGUAGAGCUAGUAAUGUGGGAGUUUUAAUGUUGCUGCUCCUUUUCCUUUGGUAGUAAAAGUUCUCUGAGCAUAACUCUAAAGUGUUAGCCAGUUAAAAACCAAUUUGUUUUUGUAAAAUUUAAAACCAUUUCAUUUAAUUGAUUUACUAUUCUGCCAACCAAUGGGCAGCCUAGAACUUCAAUGCUAAACUCGUUUCCUCUGUAGGUGGGUGAUACUUUUUGUCCCUGAGGUGAGGUUUAAUUUUACAGAAGCUGUGCGUGUGUGUGUGAGAUCCAACAGCCGCCACCUGAAGCCCAUGUGAGCACUUGUGGCCGCCGCUGCUGUCAGUGACAGGCUUGUAAGAGGAGGUCCAGCACCUCACGUGCCAGUGGUCCCAGUGCUCGGUGGAUUUCUCUGUAUGUUCCGCCAUUGUAGUCCUCUAUCGGUGAGCUUGUAUCUGCAGUCAUGAUGGUGGAGUAACAUUCUUCUCCCGUUGCGUUUGUCUCCUGACCUUAAGGCCUUUCAUAAAUGUUUUCACAAGCGCUUUUCAGCUUGAUAAUUGGUUAUGAAUAUUGCCAGCCCUGCAUUGACCCUGCAGGGUCCCCUCAUGUGCCACCUGAAUACCUUGGCCAGGAAUUGCUGUUUAUAAUUGACUGGCAGAUAUUUACAGAAAUAAGAUUGGAUCGUCUGCGACUGCAGGAGGCCUCCCUGCAUGUGUAAGUUUGUGCCUGGCAGAUUGAAACGGAUUUCUAAACCCAUCAGCCCUUUUUGGAAUCGUGGAAGAUGAGUGCAAUUUGAGGUGUAUGAAUCUAGAUGACCGAAGUGGACUCUUGAACAUGGCACCUCUAGUCCCACAGAUGGCAAGGGUGGAAGAUCAUGUGUGCAUUAUGGAAGGAUUUGUCAUACAGCAGUUUGCAGAAGGCAGUAAUGUGAAAGGCAGUGAUCCUGCAGUUAAACCAGUCUGACUCGGACUCUGUGGCCGACUUCAUCAUUUGCAGUCAUUCCUCAUGAAGUUCUCGUCACCCUCGGAAAAGCCUUCAGCAGACGUCCAGGAUCCUCCCAUGAUCACCUUUUAACAGGCUGGCAGAGCUACUUCUAUCAAUGAGUUUCCAAGUAAUGAGGUUGACUUUUGCAAGCAAGCAUUGUGGAUGAGGAGUUUCUUCAUACUCGUCUCCUGUUCACUGGGCUAAUCAAUCUACUUGAAGAGGAACCCCAGAAAUGGAACCCAUGUCCUGCUGCUCAUCUCACUCCACCUGGAUUCUCUCGUACAGGUCAUUCAUUUCCCAAUUUGACAAACUGGUCCUUCUACAGGAGCCUCUCUUCCUAGCCCUACCUUGAUCUCCUUCUGUUGAACACAUAACUACAAGUUCUUGGCCUGUAGCAAACUUCAGAGGAGAGCCAAAGUCCACAGCAAGCUGUUUGUAAUGUGACUGGAGUGGCUGUGUCCCUUGUAAAUACAAGGGUAUUGGUGGUGGUGGUGGUGUAUGUAGUCUUUGUGGCAAAUUCAGCACUAAAAGGGCCUCUUGCCAGGCUAAAGUCUCAUUCACUGUAUUUAUGUAGGAAGCACCCACUGAGGGGAAGUGGGGUGUCGGUGGCAGCUAAUGGAUCAGACCUCGCAGAGGAGGAGUUAUUGUAGAACUCCUCCGCAUAGCCACACUGGUCUGUUUGUGUUCUUUCACAGCCCCUUUUCAAAGACCAGGAGAAGAUUCGCUCCUUCUCACCUCGGGGACUCCUAUUUCUCCAGGUCUCUUAAUCUCGUCCUUUAUCACCGCAGGUUCUUCAUGGCUGCUGUCACUCCUUUCAUCUGCCCUGGCUUUGUUCCUUCCUUCCUCCUAGAUUUGUUACCUGUUUGACGCUUUAACUCCAUGGCCUUGAAAUGUUGUCAAUCCUGGGGCUGUGGAGGCCGCUUUCCUUCUGCUGGUCCAGACUCAGCCUGUCUGAUGGAAUUCUUGGGGAUUUUCGCUCACUUAUUUGUUUUCCAUCUCCAGCAUCGUGCAGUGCUGAUUUUAUUUCGUAAUCCUUCUGCUUUUCACCUUUUGAAAGUCCAGUGUCGGCUUUUCAGGGAGUUGUCACCUAAAUAAAUGCAGUGGUUGAGUAACGAGUUUGUAAGUCAAGGUUAUGAUGCACAUUCAUUUUGUUUUAUUAGGUUUAGGUUGUUGGGUCAUGUGACAGUGGUUUGUCACCAGACUAAUUCUAGUAUAAAUGUUGCCCACCACAAAAGUAGUCCACAUCCACCAGUAUGAACUGGUUCUCACAGAACUUUUGUCUCUCGCUAGCACUGCCUGCGAUUUCUGCCUUGUGUUGGUAUCUCCUGGCCUUUCCUGUCGCUUGAACUCUUGUCUCAUAGCCGCUGUUUGGAGCACUGGCUGUGGCCGUGGACCCUCGGCAAAAUAAACGUUUGUAGUUGGUCUGUUAGUAAUACGGGUAGAGUGGAGUUUGAAUUGUGUGGCUAUGAUGUAGACUUAGUUGGAUGGAGUGCCAUUCAGUCGUGAUUUGUUCCAGGGUGUGUGGUUUUUUAUUUUUCAAAAGUCGUCUUUAGUGAGGUUGAAGUCUGUAUUCUACUAUCCAUUGUCUAGGUGACUUUUUUUUUUUUAGUGCUUUUGUCAUAUCCAACUUUAAUUUGGAACGAGUAAGAUAUAACUUCUAGUUGGUCAUUUUUGAUUUCUGUGGCCUGUUGUAUCUAUUAAUGUCCACUAGGUGGGGCUGACGUCCCAUUUCUUAAAGCACAAAAGGGCCAUUGGGAAGAGUUAAAGCCAAAUUAAUGCUAAAGAUUUAAAUAAAUUUAUUCUGGUCUUGGGUUAUUGAGCCAGUUAAAGCCCACCAACCAGUGCACGGCUCAGAGAUCUGAAUCUUAAUGGCGACCCUUCAGGGCCCUAGGGUCACCAUUUCCUUUAGAUCUCUCGCCCCAUGCCUGGUGAGGGAGAAUGUGGCUGCCCAGACCUGGCACUAGUGCCAGGAUGUCGAUGUCCAGGUAAAGUGAAGGAUAGAUUGCCACACUUGUAUUCAAGGGUUGGUUGAAUUUCUUGGAAGACAGUGCAGUAGAAAAGGACCCCCUGCUAGUGAAGACUGGAAAUGGAGGAAUCUCCUGACUUGGAUUGAGCUGUGUGAAGGAUGAAGAGUAAAGGGCAAAGAAAAUGGUGUAGCGGAGACGCAGACAGAUGAGGUUUAAAUGACAGAACCAGAGGAAAAGAGGCAGUUUGGAGUCCACCUAUAUAAACCGGGCAGUGUCGUCACAAGAACAGGUCUUUAAUAAAGUAGUAGUGGCUUUCAUAAAUAUGCCAUAACAUAUCCGUGAUGGUCCUGGGGGCUCGUCACUCCUGAAGGAUUUCAGCAUUGGGAUUCUAAAGCGUCGGAUCCCCUGGACUAGCUGAUGGCUUUCGGCAGGCGCUUUUCUCCAAAGCAAGUUAACGCUAUCCUGUUAAUUCUGCAAGAGUAACCGGACAGGUGGAGUUCUCUCCUGUAACUAAAAAAUACAAGUUUAACAGUACAAAUAUUUCAAUUUGUGGUUUUGAACUUAUUUUGAGUGAAUUCCAAAAUGAGCUGGCUUUGUAAGAACACUUAAACUGUUGUCAGAGCGAGCGUCUGGCUUACGUAGGCUUGUAAGAGUUGGAUUUGCAUCGCUGGAGGAGUCCAGUAGAUUCCGAUUUGAAACAUUGUGUACUCCUGGGGUGUUCUAAUUGGCCAAAUGUGUCCCUUUUUUAUGGUGUGCCCCAUCUUUAAGGCUUUCAGUGUGAAGUCCGACUUGCCAGUCUGUAAAAACCACCUUUUGUGCCGAGUGCUCCGACUUGUCUGGCGUGUGCAUUUGAGAGGUCGUGGACUGCUUUUUGAAAUGCUAAGCUUGACUCCGCAGUUUCGAGCAAAAGCUUUUCCAGACAGGAGUUUGCUGUUCUCUUUCUGUCUUCACUUUUAUCACGUGUCACUGUGCUGAGCGAUGGCAUUACUGAAACUUGAAAAGAGAACUGGCAAUAUCUGCAAUUUAUUAAAAUAUUGAUUUACGUUUUAGAUUUUUUUUGUUCUUUCCAGGAUGGAGACAAGGGGCCUGCCGUCCUACUUAAUCUUGUGUAGUUACCUAAAUCCUGGUGGCCAGUGAGGUGGAUGAAAGGCCAUUAUUGCAACUUUUAUCCUGUUAUGGAAUUAAACAAGUGUGUCUGUCUCCUUGGAGGAGGAGAUGCACCCAAUGAGCUGUGAGCAGCUGUCCCAUUCCAGUGAGGCAGUUGACGUUACUCAAAUUGUUGUUCCCACUAUUGUGACAUUUGGCCAUACUAACUGAACAAAGGCCACUGGAAAGCCUAAACGUGUGGCUGGCAUUGUCUGUCAUUGUGCCUGUGGCUGCUCUAAGUGAAGGCCGUGCUCGAGCGUCCACUUUGUCCUGUUGUGUCACUUGACUCCUCUAAUGCUGUGACUUGUAAUGGUGCUGCUAGAACAGACAUUAUGAAAACCCAACUGGACAGUCCACACUAAAUUGGUGUGGUUUAGGAAGCCAUGGCAGUGCCCUUUAGUAGGGCAACUGAGAUACGAUGAACACCCUGCCAGUAUGAGAUGCACAACACGUAUUUAGAUGGGACGCACUUGAUGUCCAUUCUAGUUUGGUGGAUUCGGACAUCGGUGGAUGUCAGAUCUUGAGAGUAACUCGACAGCAGUUGGGCCUUCAUCUGAUUUACACAUACGGUGGGUUGAAGACUUCAGUCGCCAUCUGCCUUUUCAGUUUGGUUGUACGGCACACGAUCUCGGAGAACGUAAAAGGCCUCUUCUCUAGGUUGUCUACACAAUGGCUGAAGCUUCACUACAGCAUUUUUCAUUUGACUGCAGCUCUAAUCGAGUGUCUUGUAUUUUCUGUCGUUUCUCGGUGUUCUUCCUGCUGCCCGGUGUGUGGUGUUUGUUGUUGGCUGCUGUGAAUUUCAUUGAGCUCUGUGGUCAGGAUGUUGUUGCCCUCCUCGGUUGACGUGUACCCUUUAAUUUGAUUGUCCUGUUUGUUGGACUCGUUAGCACAAAGGCAGACUCCACUAUCUCCUCUCACCUGAUUAUGGUAUGUCUUGACGUAUAGGGUGAUGUCUCUUGUGUGGCCAGAAGUGCUCAACUCCCAUGAGCCAGGAAGGCACCACUAAUUCUUUGUUUACUGUAUAUAGCGCUCUUCUCGUGGUGCUGAGUGCUUCAGCCGCCAGUAAUGCGUACCACCCAGUUGGAUGAUGUGAUGGCAGCCAUUUUUGCACCAGUACUCUCCUCACAUUAGCUGUUAGGUGGCCAAGUAUGAGAUAAAGCCUCAGUAAAUCUUGUUUUCUAACACAUGGAGUCCUAGGCUUGGCAUGACCAGGGCAGGGCUGGGCACAGCCACUCCAGAUGAAGUCCUCUUCGAGACGUGAGCACAGCAGGUAUUGCUUGUGUGUGUUUUUAGUUUGUUUGGACUCUUGGACCCUUCCAUCUCUUGCCUUUCUUAGAAUGUGCAGCCUGAACUUUGAAUUUCUACCUGGAAGCUCCUUAAAGCAGCCUGUCAGUGGGUUUGGUUUUGGAGUUCACUGGGGUCCUGCUUUCUCAGCUGCUGUCCAGUCUUCCAUGGCUCCUUCUAGUUACCAAUCCACCCCCCUUACACAGCUCACUUAAGUUCAGAGGUAACCCCAGCAGAAUUCUGUCCAGAGCCCCAUGGGUCAGUCCCAGGUGAGAUCCCACCAGAUGUGACGGGCAGCCAUGUACUCCAGUGGGUGGGUUCAAGCUGGAGAGCUGCUUUUGUAUGUGCGGCCCCCCCAGGUGGUUCAGUUCAACACACACACACACACACACACACCAUGCAUGGCUUCUAAAGCUGGCUCUGACCCUUUUGAGAUUUCUCUUCCAGGUUCACGUGACCCUACCAGGAUUUUCACACCACACUUCACUGCAGUACAAAGGUUUCUGGUGGUGAAUUGAAAAGGAGACACCCCCCCCCCCCCCCCCCUUUUAAAUUCUCAAAGGGUGACAUUUGUAAGGUGAUAAACUGGCCUGCAAGUGUGUGUGUAAAAGGAGCCGCAGGUCUUUAGUGUCUACACCUCCGUUUUAACUGUCGAGGGUCUGCACUCCCCGCCUGUGAAAGCGAAGGCUUGACCUUCCUUUUUGACGUCUUGUCAGAUGUUCUGAGUGUGGCCCCUGAAACUUUCCUCUUAGGGGGUGUCACACUGUGCUCGGCUGCUUGAGCAUAAAGGGCACCUGGAUGUGACCUGCCUGCUGUCCUGCAGUCUUAGUGAAAACUCUACGGUAAGAGCUGGCAGUCGGACAUUUAGCAACACACACUCUCUUCCCCUUUGUCUUUUUUUGUAGAGGUGCUCCACGUUUUAUUUCCCAUUGCAGUGAUUGACUGUUUCUCCAUUUUGUCAGUGAAUAACUUGAAGAGUGAAGCAGACUGUGAGCCCCCCAAGAAAAGGAAGAUCUGGUGAAUGCCAGGCCUGGCUGCAGAGACCCCGAAGGCAGUUCUGGGGUCCCAACAAAGGUGUGCCACACUUGGAGCAACAGUCUGAGUAACUGGGACCACUGAAUAAGGAGCUGUGAAGACUUGAAGCAGAUAGCCAAAAUAAAGCGAGUCCCGUCCUCCAUGACGUGGCCACCAAUGAAUGAGGACUACAAGACUGGAAAUGAAGAAAAGCAGCCGCAUAGCUGAAGGACCCUCUGAGCCUGCACCGUCUCUCCUGUGCUGAUACUUUUUUCUGAUUCAUGAAGGGUGCUGUUGUGGUCUUUUAUUCCACACUUGGCAAGACUGUGACCUGGUGACUAGUGAAAUGGCUUGAGUUUUACAAAAAGCCCUCAAGUUUGAUUGGAAGAGCACUGUGUACACUUGAGACCCCAAACUCAGUUUGAUUUAUUCCUUAUCUGUUUGUCCCCAUAUUAUGUAAUCCGACUUCUGCUUUGUUAACCAAGUCAUGAGAGAGGAUUCUGUUAUCUGGGCCUGUAAAUGCAGCAAAUUCUUGUUGUUGUUGGGUUUUUGUUUUUUAUUAAAUGUAACCUCCCCUUUUGCUGUAAUUUUGAAAUGAGAACCAAAAUAUUAAACCUCUGAAGUAUC
This is a long non-coding RNA of Erpetoichthys calabaricus (reedfish), 9854 nucleotides long. RefSeq lists it as uncharacterized. The record is from RefSeq and is a predicted model, not a curated record. Lineage: Eukaryota; Metazoa; Chordata; Cladistia; Polypteriformes; Polypteridae. The transcript is spliced from 6 exons.